Long non-coding RNA from Numida meleagris (helmeted guineafowl), 18134 nucleotides. RefSeq lists it as uncharacterized. The transcript has 3 exons. The record is from RefSeq and is a predicted model, not a curated record. NCBI's taxonomy places the organism in Eukaryota, Metazoa, Chordata, Aves, Galliformes, Numididae.
CCCCAUGGGGCCCUCGCACUUACUGUGGUUUUGCAGCUGUUGCGGCGUGCAAAUAAAGAUGUUUGUCUGAGGGAGGAGAGCUGGCGGGUCCGCUGCUGUUGGCCUAAGGAGCGUGCGCGUAAAGGUCACACCGGCUCAGGGGCAGGAGUUCAAAGCAAGUGCAAAUAACGCUACUAAUCUGCACCACACCACGCAAAUAAGGCCGUGGUCAGAAAAGGAGAGUGAGAGGUGAAUUAUUAACUGUAAAGCCAACAAGAUUUCAGGGACAUGCGGUAUACAUUGGACCGUGCCGAGCACCUGAGGUCAGCGGUCUGCUGGCCCUGUUCGUGCAGCGCUUUCUGCCGGUGGCUCUGAAAGGAGACGCUACCUGUGAGCCAACUUGUGUGACCCACCUGCACACCCCGAGCUCCCGCAGGCCACCAGUGCUCCAGGUGGCCACUUAGGCCGACGCACACAACCUGCCCCAAACCACCCCUAAAGCCUCGCAGCUCGGUCUUACUGAGGCUGGAAAUGUAAAUUAGUUAGUUGCAGUGUGCUACUGGUGGUCAUAUUAAUCAAAAGUAAUUGUUCCAGUCUCAAAAAUGCUCGCAAUUCUUAGAGGAAAAGACAUGAAGAUAAGCAGGUUGCUCAAGGAAAUGGCAGAGUACUUGUUCGAAGGCAGAGUUCACAUGAGCACAAGGACAAAAUACCUGGCCUGAAUUUCAAGUACAAGAUCUCCUUCACAUUCACUUCUCAUGUUCUUAUCAUGCUUUCAGAGGCCAGAUUUGUUUGGCUUAAUAUUUAGCUACUUAUCCUGCCAAAACAAAGAAUGCUUUAUUCUUGCUUUGGAAGACCGCAGUGUAUAUAGUUUCCCCCUAUAACUCUGAGUUAAUUGGAGAGGGGAUUGUCUCAGAACAUUUCAGGCCUUGGAUAGUCUAGAAGUACCCAUUUCCACUGCCAUUAGUGGUGCUAAAUGCCCCAAAUCAGGUAGUAUUAAUCCAAGUCUUCAUGUUUUUCAGGCAAUGGAGUGCUUUUUACAGAGACUUAAAAUAUGUAAUAAUAUCAGAGAGCUAACAGGGAUAGCUACAAUACAUCCAUAGUUCUGGCUUUCUUCUGCCUUCUUUUCUCUGUGGGUUUAAAAAGCAGUUGACAAGUAGGAUGCAGAACAGAAGUCACUAAAAAAUACCUGAUAACUUCCACUACCUGAUAACUGCAGGAAAGCUGCUGCAGUCCAUGCAAAGGGAUGUGACACCCUGAGAGACUGCUCCUCUCCUUCCAGUUGUGCGUAAUAGCUAUAUCUGUCCAUGAGAUACCUCGCACAAUCUUUAAGGAGAACAAACUGUAACAACCUUGUUAUCAGUCUUAUCCAAACAAAGGUGUUUGCAGCAUCAAGCAUAGUCUAACAACCAGCUGUGUCUUCUUCCUUUAGGCCCACUGAGAAGCUAUCAAAUGAAUUGUCUGCAUUAGUUGUGACAGCACAUACAUUUCAUAUAUCUUGGGGUGACCCGAGAUAACCUUGCUUAGUUUACAAUAUCUUCUGGUUUUCUGUUUGAAAUAGUUUGGCUGAAGGAAUGGUAAUAGUAUGCAGUACUUUUCAGCUAAGAAUUCACUUUUAUUUUUGACACCUCAAAAGCACAUUGAGCAGAUAGUCUCAAGUUAAUACGCACUGAGUCCCUGCAUUUCAUUUUCCUGAGUUUUACAUGCAGUUUGUAACCCAUCGCUGGCCUGAAUUUUGUUGUGCUCAUUUGCAUGUGCAAACGUGUGUAUGUCAGCUGUUACAUGUGGCAUUUUUGCAAGUUGGCCACUUCAAGAAGGUCACCCAACAGCAGCAAGAUCCAGUCUCAAGGUCUUUGAACUAACAAAUUCAGAGGGGAAAAGUUGUUUAGCAAAAAAUUCUAGCGAUGUUGAUACAGGAAGUAGUGGCUCUGCCAUGAGGAGUUAUCUGGGGCCAUCUGUUGUUUGGGCACAUCAAGUUGUGUUUUGCUGCUUUCCAUAGCUUAUCUGCUAAGAGACAUGCUACUGGGUGACUGUGCAAAGGGUCAGAAUCCACUUUGCAGUUUCAUAACCAUUCACCAAUCUUUUACCCAAAUCAGUUUUUCUUGGAACAAGGCACUAUCCUGUAUAUAUUCCCACAGAUGGAGUUCUGCUUUUUUUCAAGAGAGAUGGUUAGCAGAGAGGAUGGUUUCAAACUAAUGACUCGCUCCAAGGAGAAAAUGCAGCUUCAUUCAUGUAACAGUUGAAACCAUUUGGAUAGUCAUAAAGUAGAAACAGACUGGGAGUAAAGAACUACUUGCAUUAUAUUAGAAAAAUGAGUACUGCUGAUUUUUGGGGCUUUGUGAAGGUCACCUCUUUUUUUUUUUUUUUUUAAACUUUAAAUUGCCCAUACAUGUACUGGAGUAACGAUCAUCUACGUAUAAUGUAUCUUAUGCUUAAGUAUAAUAGAGGGAAUAUUGCUGAUCUGAUAUCAGAAGGCUUCUUCUGACACUUUCAAGUUUUAAAAAUUUUAUAAUGUGUCCAGCUCAGUUGAGGUUUCGUCCCCGAGUACUCAUUGCUGCAACUAUUCUGUCUCCUGGUGAAGAUAGUGUAAUGAGCAUUUUUAUAUGUUUUAAAAUUCUUCCUUUAUUUGCAAUGGAUUAUUUUUUGUCCAGAAGGCCCAACAAAGGAUUAUAAAGAAGACUCAGAUGAUGGAUAACCAUUCUUUGCAGUGCUUUUUGUUGGCAGAAUUUAGUUGUCUUUCCAGACCAUGGCAGCUGUCAUUUACCCCUAUGAAGUCAGAUAUCCCCUCUUAACGCAGAUAGUUAAUCAGUGAAGUGUGCUAAAAAAGAGGUUAAAUAAGAGUUGAAUUUAGAGAGCAAUACAAACAUCAACAAAAACCUGUCAACAAAGUGAUAAGUAAUAAGAGAAGUAAAUUAUGGACAUAGGUUAAGAAAUGUGAAAGAAGUCUUGAGAAAAGGACGGAAGCUUGGUGUACUGUACCAAACAGAGGUUCACACACUUGGAAGAAAAUAAGCAGGGAGAUUCCUGAAUCUCUUGGAUUUCAAGUUCCGUUGUCACAAUCUUCAUCCUGAAAUGCUGGAAGAAACUUCUAUUUCCUCUUUAUUUGUUGUUACAUAUUGUAAAAUGACAUGACCAUGACACAUAUUUGUAGCUAUACUGCAUAACAUUUAAAGAUGGCUCUGUAGAUGGCAAGGUGUUUUUAAAUCUUAUAAAAGUGAAGCUACCUUUGACUCCAACCUCAGCUAUUGCCUCAGCAGAUCUAAGCCAGAGUUGAGGUGUGAGGGGAAUAGGUGGGUGUAAAUCGGUGGACAAAAUGCAGGUGGAAAGAAAAAGAAAGGUUAUGAAGGCUGCAAAAAUCAUGAAAUGGGAAGAGAAGAGCAUUGGUCCCAGCCCUAAAACACAAGUUUCCUGUAUCUAAAAAUGUAAUUCCCAAUAUAAGACAGAAAAAUGGUUUGGGGUUUUUUUUUUUUUUUUUUGAUGUUUGUUUGUUUGCUUUUUUUUUCCAGAUGUCAUAAAAUAAGUUACUUGUCAAUACUGGUUUGCUAAUGUAUGAGUUUAUGUCUACCCUUUCUUCACAUUUUUUCAGGUCCAAGGAGCAGAGAUGAAAUCCAAAACUCAGAAUGGUCUGGGUUCUGUGCCUUGACUUAAAGGAUGAGUUCUCAGUCAUGCCAAACCCAAACAGAGAUGGAAAUCUGUAUUACAGGUGUCAUUAGUAAUCAGAGUUGCUGUAAACAGUGCUGUUGGUUUUAAUAAGCUCAAAAUCUCAGCUCAGCAGGAAAAUAUCUGUCAUGUUAAAGUAUGCAGAUAUAUACAUAUAUACAAGUUUUGUGCCUAAAAUUAGAAUGUGAGAUCUCUAGAUAGGACCUUAAGUCUCUCACUUCUGGAAAGCAUCUCUACUCAGGAGGGAAAUCAAAUGUGUUAGAUUUAAACAUAAUGGUAAGAGCUUUCCUCAUUUUAGGCAUUAACGGAGUAUUCUUCAAAAACGUUUAGCCUCCUGGAGGACCAGAUUAAUCAGUUAAGAGAUCCUGGGACUCCCAGUUUAGAUUACUUCAUAAAAUUGUGGCCCAAUUUGCAAUUACAGUUGUGUGUGAAAAAUAUAUACCAUUACGUAGAUAGAAGAAGAUAGGUAUUUCUUACAAAUAUUUAACUAGUAGCUCUGAGGCCAAACUUUAAGAAACUGUAAGUCAAAAUGAAGCCAUGUCCUAUGGGUGGACUCAUGCGGUUUUCAUGAGUUUGGGGCUGGUUUUGAAUUAUUUGAAGUCUGAAUGAAGAAAAGUUUUUUUGUUUAAUUGAAUCAAUGGUGCUAUAAAAUGUACAGGUCAUCUAAUCCACUGUUAACAAAACAGCAAAUGUGAAAAACCUUAUUCAGAACUGCUCUUCGUACAGGCAGAUGUUGUUUUAAUACAUAUAAAUGCACAUAUAUUUACAUAUAUGGCAACAGAAUACUGAAAUCAAAAUCAGCUUCAGGAGCUAAGUGUUGUUUUAACAUUAGCAAGUCUCUUUCAGGCAAGUGUUCAGUGCUACACUUUUGAAUAACUGUCUUCCCUUGAGGUUGGUAUUUGCUUUAGUUAUCACUUUAGUUAUUAACUCCUACAAUCCAGUUUUCAAACGUGACAGCAGUGUUUGGAUCAAGUUCAACUCUGAAUUCAUUCCAGUAAUGCCCGCAUAGUUUGCAUGGUCUUUUCUAUGUUUGUGUGCAGACGUGGGUUUUUGAUGUAUUCACAAAGCAUGUCUAGCAAUAUAUGAAAUUUUGUCUAUCAACAUCAGGGUCAUGGCAUACACGGAUGAUUUCUUAUGUCACUCUUUUUUUCGAAGACCCUCUGUUAUGGCACAGUGAGAUAAGAAUACAUUGUCAAAUGGAACUCAAAAUUUUCUGUCCCUUUUUUGUUCAAGUUUUUUAUUUUAAAGCAGGCAAUUUUAAUUUGGCAAGCUCCACACAAAUCCAAUCACCAUUUGGAGCUCCAGGAGAAUUGCUCUGCCUUGAUGAGUAACGAGAUGCACUGCAAUGUGGUUGGGAUUGCUCUUUCAGCCCUGUCAGAUCAUAAAGUUAUUAUUGUUGUGAGAUUCUUCAAUUUACGAAAAAUGAUAUGCACCAAAGCUGGCUUAAUAGCUGACAGAACACAAAGAGGGACAUGAUGAGUAAAUCCUGAAAGUCUGUCUGUCACCCACUUAGAUCACACUUGGGAUCUCUGCGCAUCGGCCUUGAUGAAACAGUAAACUGGUUAAAGAAUCCAAAAUUUUAAUUUAACCAAAGUGAAAUAUAUUCAUUUUUUGAAAAUCUUACGAAAGCUCAUUUUCAAUCACAAGCAGCUGACUAAGAAAAUGUCCUUGUAAAUGAUGUCUCUUAACACUAUUAUGUUUAAAGUACUGUCAGCAUUUCUGUUACAGCGAUUUACUGUGAAGUGCUAGAUUAACUACUUACUCAACCAUAAGAAUAUGAAUUCCUUUACAGUCUUUUUACAGUCUAAUGGCUUGCUUUGGCCUAAAAAUCAUGCUCAGGUAUGCACUGAUGUUCAUGUGUUUGUCUAGAGCACCUGCACACCAAAAUACUUUUUCACAUACACAGGUGCCUAUACAUUCUACAGAGAUGUUUAGAAGCAAAAAUCCACCCUACACAAGCAAUUGCCCAAAUGGCAUGCAAAAAGAUGACUCCCAUGCAUACAGAUAUUUUUGUGGGCAUUAGUCAGCUGCUUAGUUAUGAUAACUUGAUACAAAGUCUGACUCUGGAGUUAUUUUAGUGACCAGGAUGCGCUAUUUUCAUUCCGUAUUAUAAAUCCCUGUAAUAUCAUUGCUGACAGAACCUUUAACACAGCAUUGCUAGCAGAUCAUUUAUGAUCAUUAUAAUCUGCUAGCAGAUCAUUUGUUCUUUCAACCCAGGAAUAAAUGCUUGUUACAUCAAUUUUAAUAAUUGCAGUCCUGCUCAGUCAGGACGACCCCUUUCCAAAUGACUGGCAAUACCAGAAGUUGUAUGACUCAUUCCCUCCUUUGUACAUCCCCAGCUGGCACAUUCAGUUCCCUCUUAGUACUCCUAUAUUUCACAAUCCAUAGCAGUCAUUCUCCCCUUUCCGUAAGUGAAAUUAUUAAAAAUGAAACUUGAGAAUUAAUAUUUUAAACAAAAACACAAUGUUUGAGUUUUGCCCCUUGGAUGAAUGCAGAGCUGUUGUCUUAACUGCAUGCUGCAUACUUCACUUUGUGGCAACAUACUUUAGCCCUCUACGCACCCCUUGUUUUGUACUACUAUUUCACAGUUCCAGUAAGAGGGUUAUAUUAUGUCCUUAUUUGUAGAGCACAACAUACAUUUAAUCUGGAAACCAUGAUGUGUACAAGCAAUUAAACAAUAGGUAUUGUUUAAUUAAAACCUGAGAAUUAACAAGAAAGGAGAAUGACGUUCACAAAACCAGUGUGUCUUUUGGUUAACUCUUUCCUGCUCACAACAUGUUCCUGAUUUCUGCUGCUGCAAGUUAAGAUUGCUCAUGGUGCCAAUUCACCCUUCAUUUCUAGAGUGUGUUUCCAUGGAAGAUCUUGUUCUCACCUUCUUAGCUGUGUUUGGUUCAUGUCCUCAGUAGCCACAUUUUAAAAACUUUGCCUGAAUGGUUGCCUUGACCCUUCAGGCCUCUAGCCUGUCCUGCAUGAGCUGGUAUACACCUCACUGAAUCAGCUGCAGGAUCAGCCACAUCGUGCCCCUGAAGGGACAGCCAGGAGUUGUAUGUUUAACUCUGGAAAAUAACUGAUAUCCUGGGAGAGAGUUACACACUACUGUUGGUUUGCAGUGACCGUUCAACCACUGUGAUGCUAGAAGCCUCCUGCCUUUGGAAGUUAUGAAAUAGACUGAUCCUGAGCCACAAUAGUUCUGUGCAACAAAGCCUGAUUUCUAUGGACUUUCAAGGAAGUAAUUGAGCAAAUAAUUCAGCUGUGAGAAAGUGAGAGCAAUGACAAAUCUUAUUGGGUUAGAGGCAAUUGUAGGUGACAAGCUGUUUUACAGUGAAGCCACUUGUAUUCAGAAUUUUUGAUCCCGGUUGAUGAGUGUAAUUUUAUCCACGCAGGCUUAAAGAUUUUAAUUUAAAUUCAGGAGGGGCUUAACAACUGAAUUUCUCUUGUGGAAAUGGAUUUCCAGGUUGGGAACAACUCUAGCUCUUAGGCAGUUUUCCCAUUUACUAAGUAUAGCGAUUCAUUUUAAUUUGCAUAUAGAGAACAUGGAUAUGUAAGUCUCCAAUUACUUUAAAAGCAAUAUUUCAACAGAUACAGUGAAGUAAUUAGUUUAAUGAGCAAAUGUCAUUGCGUAGUGGAAAGCUUGGUUUGCCAAGGAUCAAUUUGUUGACAUUUGAAUCCAACUAGAAAUGAAAUGCACAGAACAAAAAGUAAACUAUUUUAGUAAAAGUCACCUCAUCCAUUUGGAACAAAUGAAAAGUAUGUCUGCUUCUCAACCAGAGGGGCUAAGUAAGGGUUUUUUCUGCAUUAGAAAACUUACAAAUUAUAAUGUAAAAUAUGAAGAGAGUAGAAAAGUUUAUGAUGCAGACAUGGGGAGUCAGCAAGCUACUUUUGUUAGAAGUAGAAUAAUUAUUUCCAGAAUACAUUUUUCACAUAUAUAAAAUGAAGUUACUUAUUACUUACGGCAUCUUUUCACAGAAUUGUAAAGCCUAAUUCAGAAACAUCUGUUAAUAUCUCUGAAAUUCUCAAACAGGGCAGCAAAUGUUAAAACUUUUAUAUCUGGAUUUCCUUUGCUUGAUUGUUAACCAUUGUUGAUACACUGUCAUAUAAAUACAUCAUAUCUCCCAUACAAAUAAAACACGAGAUAUUGCUCAAAGAAUUUUCCUGUCUAUACCGGAGAUUACAGUAGUAAUAAAUCAAGUUAUAACAAUGAAAAAUAAGUACAUAGAAAAGCAGUAAAGAAUAUAGCUGUGAGAGGUAACAAAACAGUUUCUGUUAUGUACAUAUUUUAUUAGUGCACCCAAGUAGCCAAAAGGGCAAGGUGCCUUUUAUCAGGAAGAAGGCGUUCUUUCUCAGUAUGCAAAAUGAAUGUGAACGUUGCUGAUACAGCAGGCAAGUGUAGGAUUAUUUUAAAUGUCCAAAACACAAUGAUUUUCAGAUGUUCUUGAAAAUUACAUUCUUGAAGAUUAUGUAACCUUUUUUUACCAAUGAAAGCUUGGAUUUAAAAUAUAUGGCCAAAAAUGAAAAUUAUAUGUUGUGUUUUUCUUUUCAUAGUUUAAAUAACUAGCAUUAAUAUCUGCUGUCAAGAAUUGUUAAUUUCUAUUUUGAUUAAAGUGAAUGGUGGUAUCUAAGAUCAUUCAUGUCAGUGUUGUAUAAACACUCAGAUAUAAGCUAAUAAGGGUUCACUUUGUCCUCUGGAGAUUGUGUAAUCAUGCCUGCCAGAAAUAACUAUAUUAAAAAUAAUAAAAACCCUGAUGAAAAGCAGAGACUAUCUCCACAACUGAAAUUCAGUCAACAGAGAAAAGCUCUUUUAACAGCAUAUAGCUUUGCUACACAACAGCUUCAAAUGGAAAAUGAAGAUCUUUUAUUCAGAAUUGCAUUGGUAAAGAUUCAGUUUUGUGAUAAGGGUAUUAGUCUUCAUUCUUUUGGACAUAAAUCAAAUUGGAACUGAUGGGAUUAGGAAAAUCUGCCAAUGGGAACACUUUUUAUUCCAGCCUGAUCUGUUGCAGGGUUUCUUGUUCUUUGCACCUCAGAAAUCAAUGGGGUUGAAGAUAGGAUGCUAGAGAUGGAAUAUUGCCUCAGAGCAAGUAGUGAUUUCAUCAGAUGUUGCGGUGCUUGUCUAUUUAUCCAAAACAUGGAUGGAUUUUUUACAUUCCACUACAACAAGUCCUUUAAGGACCACACGAUCAUGGUUAUCACUAAUCAAGGAAAUACCAGAAUUCUACGUAAGCACAAAAGAGUACCCAGCGUGGUUGUGUGAUGUCUUUGUUUGCAGUCCAGUGCGUAAACUAGGUCAUACAGAGGGCUGGCUAUGCUGUGCCUCAGAACUCUGCUGUAUUCUGCUUUCACCUCCUUUUGUGAAGUUGACAAAAUUGCCACAGGAGGACUUCUGUCUUACAGAGAUUGUUCAUGUUAGAAGCACCCGCCCCUCCUCAUGCUGACAUUGUAAUGGAGCUCAAAUGGGAGGCAGCAUCAAGGCUUCAUGUCCCCUUGGUGGCUUUCCAUGCAGCAGCUGUCAGGGAGUGAAGUUUGUCUGGGGGGCUCUCACCCGCCCCUCACCUCUUCCUGCUUUGUGGGCUCUGAAGGAGGAAAAUGAUGCAGGGACUGAUGAGGAAACACGUUUAAGUGUAAGCUUGGGUUCUCUAUACGAGUACUUUGGAAACACUAGUGACGUAGCCUACUGAAUCUGCAUCUUUAAUAAUGAUAUCAAAUUGGCAUUCUAUGUUGACAUUAGAGAUUAUGACUCCUGCAGGUCUGGGAAGCAGUGAGCAGAUGGGACGAGUUAUGGCAGACAUUUACACUAGGCCACUCUACUGCAGGGGCUGAACAGAGCUGCAGUAGCCUCGGAAUGUCUAUGGUGUAUUUCUUUUUUAAUUACGACAUUUCUUAGCUGUCCUUUUGGCCUCAAGGACCUUCAGAUCAGAACUCUGUUCAGUACACUGUGGUGCAGAUGUGCCCACGCUGAUAUUUAUGCAAAAUCUCUUGAUUUUUUAAAAAGUAUUUUUCAAUUUAAUGUAAGUUUUAUUUUUAAUGUGGACUUCUGUUAGAUCUAAAUAAUUGCCAGAGAAGAGUCCUUGCCAGCAGCUGAAUUAUUGCAGUCUGUGCUAUAAUUCCAAUGUGAAUAUAAAUUGUUUUUCUUGUUGGCUUACAAGUACUGUUUCUCUUUGUAAGAUUGGCUAUGAAUCAUCCAAAGGUAAGCAGAUUUUUAAAGAAAAGUCUGAAGUUCUACAGGAAAAUGUGGAAUAAAGAGAUGAGUAUACUUCUGGAAAAUACUGAAUUUAUUUACCACAAGGGGCAAAAUGUUUUUGGCCCUGCUAAACUCAACAUGCAUAGUACAGAAUCAAAAUGAAAUUAAGCCAAUAUGCAUUAGCAGCAACUUCAGUGCAUCAGUAAUUUGUUAUUCUAUGCUGCCAUCUUGUGACUACAAAUAUGACCUGCUGGCGUAUAAUAGAGUAAUAAGCUGUUUAAAUAUGACCUGUACAGUUCAGUGAGGACACUUUCUGGAAAAACUUCAGUUUUUGCAUAGUUACUACAUACUAAGUUAAUAGCAGGGAAAUGAAAAGAACAGAGAAAAUAUUUGACAGCAUUUCUACUAAUGCAGUAUUAGUGAAGUGUUGUAUGUUUGGCCAUUAUGGAUGUGGUCUGCUUCACAAAAUGCAGUGAAGUCAUUGUUUGUAAAAGUUUCUGAAAAGAAAACUUAUGUAAAGAUCCAUUAAAUUAGUUCCUACCCGCAGGUAAACAGAUACAUCAGGUAGCCCUUCUUCAGAGAUCCAUACAGAAAAGACUUACUUAGGUUUCUGUCAAUAGGGGAAAGCAAAAUUAAACAAUAACCAACUUACGACUUCCUUCUCAUCUCUUUAACAUAAAGGAAAAUGCAUUCAGUUUGAGGGUGAAAUUCAAGGCUGAAUCAGUGAAUGUUAUGUAGUAUUAUCUUCUGUACAGCAGGGUGGCAUUGGGGAGCCUCAAAGCCAAGAGUGAAUGAGAUGAGCGAAUGAGAACCAGUAGCAAGAGUGGCUGGUAGCUGCUGAACACACAGCAGGAUAUGCAAUACUGUGCAUUGCAUCACUAGCACAAAGUAAAAUCAAUCUAAAAGGCCUCCAUUUUUAGUGGUUCUACUAAGGAUGAAGUUUUGCACACCAAGGCACGCUGGCUGAAUGGUAAUGAUUAGAUGACAGAGUAGAUAUUCACUUCUAAUGCUUCCAGUUCACCAUACUGUAGAAACCACCUUUCAAAGCUGGAGGACUUUUGCUUAUCAGGCAUUCUUGACCAUCUGAAGAUGGAAGUACUAAGUUGUUAUGCGGGUAUCAUCCAACAGAGCAAAGAGACAUAAGCUGUCCAAGAAUGAAUUAACCUAGAAUUUAGAGAUGAGUUUCAAACCACUAAAUCAAUGAGAAUCUGAAAUGGUUAUCUGAGAGAGCAAAGGAAACCUGACUACUAACAGAGUGGAUCUUGUUUAAGUGUUGAAAGAAUUUUUGAGACAGAUUGCUGGUUAGAAUUUGGGAUAUUGCUUCCAGUCCAGUCCAGUCCAGUCCAGUCCAGUCCAGUCCAGUCCAAUGUUUGCUGAAGUUAAAGACACACCAGAUUUUGAAAGCUCAGGAACGUUUUAGUUACAUGAACACCUGGAUAAGGAAGUACCUUAACAAAGUAAUGUAAAAAACACUUGGAGAGACUUAGAUAUAGCCUGAAUUGAAAUAGGGGAGAGCAUGGAGGAUGUAGGAACUCAUGCACAGAGAGGAAUCCAUUUCCUCUCAGGAAAGGAAAUGGAAGAGAAGUGGAUGACCUGAGUGGAAAACAAAGAUCUCUGCUUUAACCCUGCCGAGUUGAAACUCCAGAUUCAAAUGUUGCAGCUAAGUGUGCCUAAAUCUCUCUCUAACGCUGAUGAAGCGUGGCAGAUUCACUCUUUCCCGGGGAAGUGUACCUGCAGCAAGAAAGCACUGAUGGAGGAAUGAAUAUGCCAUGGUAGAUCUAGUCUGGAAGUUUAUGUAGGGAAAAGUGAGAAGGCUUGUUGAAGCAUCCCUAAGUUAUUGAAUUGCUUUAAGUAUUUCUUAUAUUAAAUUGUUCACUUUCGGCUUCAAUCAAAUUGUACAUCAUUGCUGUGGUCUAAGAAAUAACUUUGCUUAGAAACUAGGUGGAGCUAUUUGUUUAGUACAGGCAGUGGUUUUGUCAUGUUGCACUCUGUGCAGAAUAGAGUGCAUGGUUUAUGUACACAGAUGAUGCAUGUGACACCUCUAUUUCAUCAUGCAUAUAUCUGAUAAAUUUCAAUGGUACAAUGAUAUAUUUAAUGAUGUAUCUGAGAACUGUCAUGCUGUGCACGUAGCGUGCAUUUGUAGAGUGAAAGUUCUUAUGUUAGAGCAUGUUUCAGACAGCUUAAAGAAGUCAGUUAAGUGAGUGGCACAGAAGAUGAAGACUGCAUUAGAGAAGGACUGCUGACAAAAGUCUUAACAGAAGCCAGAUGCUCCAAAACAGAUAUUUUGAAAUUAUUGAGCUCUUUGUAGCAAAGUAAAAAUAAAUGCAUUACCAUUUACAGAUGCUUAGAAAGAAAACAGCAGAGAAGAGAUUGAGAACUUGUGUCAGAGACAGAAAAUAAGUCUCUUGAACCUGAAUAUACCAUGAUGGUCAGUCCUGUUUUCUCAAGGUUUGCUCUGACAAAUGCUACCUGCAAAAACUGCUUUCUCUAAGUAUCAGAGGACUAGUGGUGAAAUACACCCCCCAUACACCAUCUGCAUCCCAAAUUUCUUAAUGUACUUGGUGAUUAGAAGCCAAAACUAUGUGGUAAGUAAGCUAGGUUGAGUGCCUUUUAAAAAGGUCUCAUGGCCUUAAAACCUCUCCUUCACUUAGUAUUGUUCUCCAGGGAGCUCUUCAGGCCUCCUUCAUUCUGCACCUCAUAGAUACCUCAAGAGUCCUCUUACACUAAAGAGUGAUGUGCAACUUGAAGCCAUCUCCAGAAUUCUAAUUUCUGUAUGUCAGCAUCUGGAAAUCCCAGCAUUUGUAGCAAAACACAGCUGGGCUGCUCCUGAAUGUGACUGGGAGGAAGAACUGGGAAACUUCUACCUCUGGUUCUUUCAUCAGCGCUUGAGUGGAAAAGCUGAACUAUAUUUGAUUUGUUCAGUGUCAAAUGCUGGCUUUACAAAAGUAGAUAAAAGCACACAGAGCUGAUUUCUGGCUGCGGGACUUUGCAGCUAGUUUGAUCACCAAAACAGGACUGUUUGCAAAGUAAUAUACCUGUUGUCAGCCAUGAAGUUGCAAAUAAAUUGGGACUUUCCUAAUGUAUUUUUAAGGCAUUAGAAACCAGACUAAUCUAUUGUUAAUCUGGAGUUAUUAUGCUUAUUCCAUUUUUUAUAGACCACAGACAUUAAUGAUAAUGCUUAAUAAUUAAAUACUCAUAGUUAAGACAAACAAAAUUUUGGUAAGAGAACAAAGAAUUCAAUCAAAACUAUGAUUGGCUUCCAUAUAGUCUUUUCCGUCCCACUGCUCCCAUUCUCUUGACUUCACAAAAUGUUUGUUAAAAUUAUCUUUACUCUCAGCUGUUCUGAAAGUCGGCAAUGCUUGCAAUUUUGACCAGUGGUUCAUUAACAUAACAGGCUGCUCUGCUUUUUAUACCUCUCCUGAGUUAAGAAUCUGGUAAGUUUCCAUUUCUGCUUGCACUUGUCUUUCUGUAAAACUAACUUCCUCUGAUAAUCUGAAGCUUACCUGAAGUCUUGUAUUACUUUUCAUUCUAGCUCCCUCCUUCAUAGCUGAGAGCUUGCAUUCACUUUUUAUAAGUACAGCCAGUCUAUAUAUUUCUUACCCUUUCUAAAGUCAGUUAUCACUUUCCUUUCUCCUUUGCUGCCUUAAUGCUGCUACAUUUAUGUUCUCUUUGCCAUAUCAGUUUGAAAGAGGCAAAUGAUGUUAUUUUUUUACUCCACGCAAUCCAUCACACACUAUCUCUUCUGACCAGAUUCAGGGAAUUCAGCAAAUAAAUACUUUUUGUGAGAUUUCCAUCUUUUGCUCAACUUUAAAUUAAAACAAAAGAAGUAAUGCCCUCAACUUUAAGGUUAAGAAGAAGAACACAUAAACAUGAGUGAAGUCCACCAAGUCUGGUGAGAAAAUGACCAACUAAGCAUUUGAUAGAUUAAGCAUGUUGGCACAGUAAUACUGUACAAACAUGCUUUCAUCCACUCAGCAUAAGUAUUCUUACCCGGUUUAGAUAUGUUGCCUGAAUGCAGCAUAGGUAGAUCAGAAGUGAUGCAGCAAUGUUUCCAUAAAUCACUUUCAAGCAGUGCUAGCUAUUCUGCUAACAAUGUGUUCAAGGAAAAAAAGAAAAGCAUGUUAUGAAGUUUUGCAUCACUCACUGUAAGUGAUCUCUCCAUGUGGUCACUAGCGACUCUCACAACCCACACCACAGCUGUGUAUUAUAUCUAACUCCUGGUAUGCUAAACAUGGGCAAAAUUUAUCAGUGCAUGACUACACUGUAAAUAUCUGCGUUAUCAGCUGUUGACUCUAAUUUCGAACUUCAAAUAGUGUAAGACUAACUUACUGCUCGUAGUGCCAUAUUUAGAAAGGAAAUACACCAUAAAUAUUCUGAGGCUAGCACAGGACUAUUCAACUCAAUUCAAGCCCUUUAUCACAACUUUGUGUUUCACAGUCUUAUUAUUAAAUUAGAUCAUUGAGUGCCACCUUACACACUUUUGCUAUUAUGUCCAGACUGGCAGACACAAUUCUCUACUGCCUGGUCACAAUGCAUGAGAUAAGUUUGAUGCUUUCCUAGAGAACUACUGCAAAAAUUCCUUGAAUACCAGCUACAGGACUAGCUGAUCUCUCUCCCAGCCUCCUUCAUAGUUCAAAUAUUGUUCCUCUUAAUAGAACUGAAGGAACUGAGAUUAAGAUUCCUUUAAAGAGAAUUUAUUAAAUCCCCAGAAGGUCUAUGAACAGGAGAAAAACUUCCAAAGCUGAGAUUAAAGCUGGCACUUUAAUAAAGAUUGAGGUGCCUGAAUAAAUUGGUUGUCCCACAGGUGCUGAGCCACUGACAUUAGCUCUGCAAGGGAAGAAACUAGGCAGCACAUCUGAAAACUAAGCUAUUUAUGUAGGUACUUGAACAUACCAAAACCCAAGCCUGUGCACCAUACAUCUUGUCCCUUUUAUGGACCUGUGUUUGUCUAGGCUGCUUUCAAUACACUUGCUUACUUUACGGCUAUUCAAGGCAGCUCUGUAAGACUGGGGAUUGACAUUAGCACAUAGCUGUACCCGUUAGAAAUAGUCUCCCUCCCCCCCCAAGCUGUAUGCUAUUUGCUUAUACUAGAGAUUACUGUCCCCAGGAGGAAUCUUGUCAGCAUUUGCUAAUCUGCUUCAGUCAACCACAAUUCGGUUAAUUUAAACAGAUGAUGAAAGUGGUUUGCGCUAGCAGGGUGAAAUUUGCCUGAAGCAUUUUAGUGAAACCACCCAAUGUCCCUUCCUGGAACAGAGUGGUGGAGACAGCUUCCAGCUGCUGGCUUUGCAAGCAGCUGAGCGUAGUAGUGGUGAAAAAGGCACUUUGGAGUCUUAAGGAGGACAUCUGCCCAUGGCCUAACAUGGAGUUAUCUGAGACACUGAGAAAACAAAAAGAAGUCACAAGAGCAGCACUGGAUAUGGACUGUCCAAAUCAAGAAUUUCUCUCUGAUUCCGCUGUUUACCACAAAUGGAAGUUUCAACUGGAAUUCAUUGGUUACAUCAACAUAUCAUCUAGCAUCAAGAGGAGAACCUUCUCUAAAGAAGAUGUCUUUAAUGCUCCUGAAAUUACAAAUGGUACCCAGGUCUGCAACUAUAUAAGUCACGUACCUCAUCUGCUUUAUGAUUUCAGAAGACAAAAGAAAAUGAGAACAAGCAAAUAAAAUGCAAUCUCUCUUCAGGAAAAAAAAACAAGUGUAUAUUAGAGUUCACAAAUAUAUCUGUUAUCUUUCAGGCAUUAUUCACAGCAACAAUGUCUGCCUCUUAUGCUUUGCACUCAAUAGGAAAGUGAAAAGCUGAAAUACAACUGUUCCCUUUACCUCUCCCCAACAUCUAAUAUUUUCUUCUCCUAAGUCAAGUAUAUAGGACUGUCUUCGCAUCUAUAUUUUCCCAGUUGUUGUAAUCCAGCAUUCUCUGGGCUGCCUUUUGCUCUCUGUUCCAAGAUAUAUUAUUACCUCCUGGAUAUUAUGCUCUCUUUCUUGUUUUGUACCGCACCACAUUUCUGGCACAUUGCAUGCCCCAUGUGCUGGAUGAGAACAUCAUCUGAUUCCAUGGUCGUAAAUAACUCUGUUAAUAGAUGUAGAUUAAUGCCAGGUUUAGAAUAAUACUACUUCUACAGUUGUCUUUCAAGUAUAUGAGCACAAGCCACUCUGAUCUGCACUGGUUUUCACUGCCACAGUGCUUUUUCCUGCAAACUGUAAGCAGGAUCCCUUUGUUCCUAUCUCAAGACAUAACCCUAUGAAUUGACAAAAAGCAGUAAGAUUCAUUGUCAAUCCCCCCAGCCACUUACUCAGCUAGCCAAUAGCAUGCUGCUUGAUAGGAUGUUUUUAAAUAUCUCCAGUCCCUAUUGUAUUAGACACCAAAAGUACUUAACAUCUGUACGUGGUCUGAUGUGUUUUGCAAGGGAUACACUCACUGGUUAUUAACUGGAUAAAACCUGGUAUUAGCUUAGCUUUGUUUAAUUUCUAAUGUUAUUUACUCUGUGAUAACUGACUAACCUCAGUUAACAUCGUGAUUUGUUUGCCCUGUAAUGACCAGAUAUUCCAUUAUAUUAUGUAAAUUAUUUGCAUAGUGAUUAUGAUUUAAUGUUAUUGGUAAUUAGAAUUAUUUGCCUGCUGGUAAUGCUGUAUAAAUGAUCUGUCAUUAAUCAUGGGGCAGGCCUUACCAAGAGCUCUAAUGAGAAAAGCUGCAAUAUAUGUCACUAAGCUAUCCUUAUCCUAUGGACCAUUGUUUUACAGCACAGGAAACUCGUUUCUGUAUUUAUUGAUCAUUCAUUGAUUGUUACCCUAAAGAUAUGGGGCUUUGUAAUUGUUUCUUUAUUCUUUGAUGUAGGAUAUCACCUGAGAUCUUUCAGACUGAGUCACAACAAUCAAAACACAUAGCUGCUAAAAUUUUCUCAUCAGAUUUUGACACUUGUACUUUUGAAUCACAUUAGUAGUUUCACCUCUCAAAUAAGGAGGAAAAUCCAUAGUCCAAGCCCCUCACAUCAGUACCCAUGGAGCCAAAGGCACAUCUUUGCCAAAAGGAAAGGAAGAGUAGGAAAAGUUUGGACUUGAUGAUCCUUCUGGGUCCCUUCCAACUUGGGAUAUUCUGUGAUUCUAUGGAAGGUGCAAAAGGCAGGGGCCAGUGGGACCCCAGCCAGCAGAGCAUGGUAUUUAACUCAGGAAAGCAAACUUCCAAGGGGAAGAUUCUCUUUCUCCGAGAAAAGUUAUCUUUCAUUCUUUCUGCUUCAUUGCCAACAUAUUUCAAGGGACUGUAUAUUCUCCUUAGGAUAAACUACUACUAAACUCAGCAGUGAGAAGAGCGGCAAACGUACACUCAGCAUCCUUCCUACCCAUUUGGUGCUUGCCAUGUAUAUUUCAGUACGUUACUGCUUAAGGAGAGGAUACCAUACCCUAGGAAAGCUGAGUGUCCAUUUAAAGCCGAGUCAUGAAGCCAGACCUCUGAGCUUUGCAGUGAUGAACCUUUGGGUGACAGCAGGACCUGAUAAAGUAAUCCUGUGUAAGAAGAUAGAGAUUCUCAUCUGAGUGAGACAUCUGAAAUGAGAAUCAUGCCUUGUAAAUAACCUCUACUAUGACUUAACUGCAACACACUUAGUGUGAAUACUUUGAGUCUCUGAGAGAGCUAGAACUGCAUAAAAAAUGAAAAUAUUUGUCACAACACUUUCUGUAAUUUUUAUGGAAUAAAGAACUGUUUAGCUAUAUAGUGAUUCAGGCAAAUUGCAUUGCCUGUUUAUCAUAGCAAAAAUUUGAAUAGUCUGAAAGAAAUAUUUGUACUGAAAAUCUUGUUUUAGAUUUAAAAAGGAAAAAGCUGAAACCUACUGAACCAGAAAAUGUAUGCAAAGGAAUAUCAAUGUGAAUAAAAUCUCUCUUUUAAUAUUUUACCAGAGGUAAAACCCAGAAUCAUUAAUGUUACUUUUAAUUUUGAACCCCAGUAAGAUUAUGAACAAUCUUGAUUUUCCCUUGGACGGUUAAAAAAAAGAGUAGUCUGUUGUAUGAGGAAAAGGGACAGUGGAUAAAUAAUAAUAGUGGAACACGAAGAAGAGUCUCACAUAUCUAAAAGGCUAAUUGAUGACUCAUCAAGACAAAUAAGGACAGAAUAUGAAUUAGUUUGAUGAGCCUUUAUCAUGGAACUUUUUGUGCGCUUCAUGAAAUUGGAACUGUUGAAGUCUAGUAAAAGAUGUGGCAGAUAAGUGUCCAUGUAUUCUUAAUGAAUAAGGAAAGGUGUGUGAAUAAAUUUCAAAGCCCUUGGUGACAUGUCCUUUGCACCAGUCUGUACCCAUCAUAAAACAUCUACUGGCAGAAUUAAGCAGGCAAAUAGUGAGAUGC